CCUACGGGUGGCAGCAGUGAGGAAUAUUGGUCAAUGGGCGCGAGCCUGGACCAGCCAAGUCGCGUGAGUGAAGACGGUCCUAUGGAUUGUCAACCUCUUUUGUCGGGGAGCAAAAGACGCCACGCGUGGCGUUCCGAGAGUACCCGAAGAAAAAUCAUCGGCUAACUCCGUGCCAGCAGCCUCGGUAAUACGGAGGAUGCGAGCGUUAUCCGGAUUUAUUGGGUUUAAAGGGUGCGCAGGCGGAAGAUCAAGUCAGCGGUAAAAUUGAGAGGCUUAAACUCUUCGAGCCGUUGAAACUGGUUUUCGUGAGUGAGUGAGAAGUAUGCGGAAUGCGUGGUGUAGCGGUGAAAUGCAUAGAUAUCACGCAGAACUCCGAUUGCGAAGGCAGCAUACCGGCGCUCAACUGACGCUCAUGCACGAAAGUGUGGGUAUCGAACAGGAUUAGAUACCCUUGUAGUC
This 459-nucleotide ribosomal RNA is filed under the name uncultured bacterium. RNAcentral describes it as "partial 16S ribosomal RNA". It matches the Rfam family "Bacterial small subunit ribosomal RNA", at positions 338 to 795 of the family's 1533-position model. The record is from RNAcentral.